CCUACGGGAGGCAGCAGUGGGGAAUAUUGGACAAUGGGCGCAAGCCUGAUCCAGCCAUGCCGCGUGGGUGAUGAAGGCCCUAGGGUUGUAAAGCCCUUUCGGCGGGGAAGCGGUACCCGCAGAAGAAGCCCCGGCUAACUUCGUGCCAGCAGCCGCGGUAAUACGAAGGGGGCUAGCGUUGCUCGGAAUCACUGGGCGUAAAGCGCACGUAGGCGGUUUCUUAAGUCAGGGGUGAAAUCCUGGAGCUCAACUCCAGAACUGCCUUUGAUACUGGGAGACUUGAGUCCGGGAGAGGUGAGUGGAACUGCGAGUGUAGAGGUGAAAUUCGUAGAUAUUCGCAAGAACACCAGUGGCGAAGGCGGCUCACUGGCCCGGACUGACGCUGAGGUGCGAAAGCGUGGGGAGCAAACAGGAUUAAUACCCUUGUAGUC
This 431-nucleotide ribosomal RNA is filed under the name uncultured bacterium. Its description in RNAcentral is "partial 16S ribosomal RNA". It matches the Rfam family "Bacterial small subunit ribosomal RNA", at positions 338 to 795 of the family's 1533-position model. The record is from RNAcentral.